UACAGAGGGUGCGAGCGUUAAUCGGAAUUACUGGGCGUAAAGGGCGCGUAGGCGGAUAAUUAAGUUAGAUGUGAAAUCCCUGGGCUUAACCUAGGAACUGCAUCUAAUACUGGUUGACUGGAGUGCGGUAGAGGAUAGUGGAAUUUCCGGUGUAGCGGUGAAAUGCGUAGAUAUCGGAAGGAACACCAGUGGCGAAGGCGGCUAUCUGGACUGACACUGACGCUGAGGCGCGAGAGCGUGGGGAGCAAACAGG
This 253-nucleotide ribosomal RNA is filed under the name uncultured bacterium. Its description in RNAcentral is "partial 16S ribosomal RNA". It matches the Rfam family "Bacterial small subunit ribosomal RNA", at positions 524 to 776 of the family's 1533-position model. The record is from RNAcentral.